RNAcentral lists this ribosomal RNA (506 nucleotides) under uncultured bacterium. RNAcentral describes it as "partial 16S ribosomal RNA". It matches the Rfam family "Bacterial small subunit ribosomal RNA", at positions 29 to 523 of the family's 1533-position model. The record is from RNAcentral.
AGUGAACGCUGGCGGUAGGCCUAACACAUGCAAGUCGAACGGCAGCACAGGAGAGCUUGCUCUCUGGGUGGCGAGUGGCGGACGGGUGAGGAAUACAUCGGAAUCUACUUUUUCGUGGGGGAUAACGUAGGGAAACUUACGCUAAUACCGCAUACGACCUACGGGUGAAAGCAGGGGACCUUCGGGCCUCGCGCGAUUGAAUGAGCCGAUGUCGGAUUAGCUAGUUGGCGGGGUAAAGGCCCACCAAGGCGACGAUCCGUAGCUGGUUUGAGAGGAUGAUCAGCCACACUGGAACUGAGACACGGUCCAGACUCCUACGGGAGGCAGCAGUGGGGAGUAUUGGACAAUGGGCGCAAGCCUGAUCCAGCCAUACCGCGUGGGUGAAGAAGGCCUUCGGGUUGUAAAGCCCUUUUGUUGGGAAAGAAAUCCAGCUGGCUAAUACCCGGUUGGGAUGACGGUACCCAAAGAAUAAGCACCGGCUAACUUCGUGCCAGCCGCCGCGGUAA